Molecule: long non-coding RNA, 1443 nt
Filed under: Fukomys damarensis (Damara mole-rat)
Lineage: Eukaryota; Metazoa; Chordata; Mammalia; Rodentia; Bathyergidae
Description: lncRNA (ENSFDAG00000025528.1)
Source: RNAcentral
UAAAAGUAUAUUUUUUUUAAAAGUCUUAAAUGUUCAAAUGAACACCUACAGGUUGUGGUUUUAUUCUAAACAUGUUUUCGGUGUAAUACAGAUAACAAAAUUUGCCGUUUUAAACAUUAGUGAUUGUACAAUUCAAUGACACUGGUAACAUCCCAACGUCGUGUAACCUCGGGUACGUUUCUGAAACCAGCAAACUUCAUCUUUCGUAAUAGGCGCGUGCUAAGUGCUCGGACGUCCCCACCUCUGCGUCUUGGAGGGCACGGUGGCCCGGGCAGCCAGGGCGGUGGUUGAGCUCUGGGCUCCCGAGCCAAGCUGGACGCUGCAGGGACUCGCUGGGCCGGCGAGGGGAGCUGCAGGGUAACUUUUCCAGGGAGAGCGGCUGGUUGUCCGCUAGAAGCCACCCAGCCUUUUGUUUGUUUUCCUGCCGGAGGCCGGAGUGUGACCGGCUUCCUGCCGCUCNNNNNNNNNNNNNNNNNNNNNNNNNNNNNNNNNNNNNNNNNNNNNNNNNNNNNNNNNNNNNNNNNNNNNNNCCGCCGAGCUGUUCCCCUAGGGGAGGCCCCGCCAGUGCUCUCGCCUCGCCGGCAGAAGACUGUUCUUUGAAAAUAUGUAUUGGGGAGAUAGUCACAUCCUAUUGAAUACCUCGUGCUGGUGCUGCCAUCGAAAAAUCUGGUUACACUCUGGGGAGGCCUGCAGGACCGAACCGCCUCGGCCCUGAAAUGCAUAGCCAGCCUGAGCAGGCCCACCAUGAAUAGAUACACGAUGAUCAAGCAGCUCGGGGAUGGGACCUAUGGUUCUGUCCUGCUAGGAAGAAGCAUUGAAUCUGGGGAACUGAUUGCUAUUAAAAAGUAAGUGUCGUCCUCUGUUCUGGCGAAUUCAUCUUCAACUGUACAUCAUCAAGGUAGUUUCAAGUUUAUCCCCUUCAUCCCCUGUCUUUGAGACGUCCCUAAAGGGGAGUGGAUGGGAGGUGUUUUCUUCAGUUCUCGUAUUAGAAGUCUUAAAAGACUACCAUGUUGGCCUUAUUACUUUACUACUUUACAAACAGCAUGAGUACUUUUCUCAUGUUUUCUUAUCUUGUGAAGUAAUGACAAGCAGGCUAAUAACUAUCAUUUCACAGGAAAGGAAAUGAAGCUCUGAGAAUUUAAGUGACUUAAUUCAGUCACUCAAAUGUGGGGUGCCCUGGUGAUUUGUGUCUUAUUCCCCCUGCAUACUUAAUCUUUGCAUUUGGAGUCCAGAUCUGUUGUGUUAGCUAUGUGUUGCCAUGCCACAGUCUGUUCCUACCCUUAAUAGUUUAAAACAGCACAUGGUUAUCAUCUCAGCUUCUGUGGGUCAGCACAGCUUAGCUGAGCUGUGUGUUUCAAAUUCUCUUAUGGGUGCACUCAGGUCUCACUGAAGGCUGGGCUGGGGAAUGGUCCACUUCUGAGUUUACACAUGUGAUUGCCGGCA